Molecule: small nuclear RNA, 107 nt
Organism: Vulpes vulpes (red fox)
Lineage: Eukaryota; Metazoa; Chordata; Mammalia; Carnivora; Canidae
Source: Ensembl
GUGCUCACUUUGACAGCCCAUACACUAAAAUCAGAACAAUAUAGAGAGGAGUAUCACGGGCCCUGCAUAAAGUUGACACACAAAUUCCUGAAGCGUGCCAUCUUUUU